GUCUUCUGUUUAAUUGUUUUACUAAUGUGCACUUUACAAAGGAUCACACUAAUCGUUUUCUGGAAAAUAAAUGACCUUUAGAUGUCUUCUGUUUAAUUUUACUAAUGUGCACUUUACAAAGGAUCACACUAAUUGUUUUCUGGAAAAUAAAUGACCUUUAGAUGUCUUCUGUUUAAUUGUUUUACUAAUGUGCACUUUACAAAGGAUCACACUAAUCGUUUUCUGGAAAAUAAAUGACCUUUAGAUGUCUUCU
Molecule: long non-coding RNA, 253 nt
Filed under: Mytilus galloprovincialis (Mediterranean mussel)
Lineage: Eukaryota; Metazoa; Mollusca; Bivalvia; Mytilida; Mytilidae
Source: RNAcentral